This 92-nucleotide transfer RNA is filed under the name Aureobasidium melanogenum CBS 110374. It matches the Rfam family "tRNA". From Rfam's summary of the family: Transfer RNA (tRNA) molecules are approximately 80 nucleotides in length. Lineage: Eukaryota; Fungi; Ascomycota; Dothideomycetes; Dothideales; Saccotheciaceae. The record is from Rfam by way of RNAcentral.
GGUCGGUUAGCUCAGUUGGUUAGAGCGUGGUGCUAAUAUCCUCCAUGAUAUACGGCACGCCAAGGUCGCGGGUUCGACCCCCGUACUGACCA